CCAGUUAAGGCCCUUAAAUAAUUACUAAGUGAUAAAGGAGGUGGGAGUGCAUAAACAAUCAGGAGGUUUGCUUAGAAGCAGCAAUCCUUUAAAGAGUGCGUAAUAGCUCACUGAUCGAGUAAACCUGCGCCGAAAAUGAACGGGACUAAGUAAUUUGCCGAAACUGUGCGAUAUAUAAAAAUAUAUCGGUAGGGGAGCGUUCUGUUGUAGGUCGAAGUAUUAGCGUAAGCGGAUAUGGACGAAGCAGAAAUGAGAAUGUCAGCUUGAGUAACAAAAAGAUAGGUGAGAAUCCUAUCCCCCGAAAACCCAAG
RNAcentral lists this ribosomal RNA (311 nucleotides) under Prorocentrum micans. RNAcentral describes it as "partial Bacterial large subunit ribosomal RNA". It matches the Rfam family "Bacterial large subunit ribosomal RNA", at positions 1035 to 1349 of the family's 2925-position model. The record is from RNAcentral. Lineage: Eukaryota; Dinophyceae; Prorocentrales; Prorocentraceae.